GACGUAGGGCGCGAGCGUUGUCCGGAUUUAUUGGGCGUAAAGAGCUCGUAGGCGGCUCAUUGCGUCAACCGUGAAAACCAGCAGCUCAACUGUUGGCUUGCGGUUGAUACGGGUGGGCUGGAGUUCGGUAGGGGAGACUGGAAUUCCUGGUGUAGCGGUGAAAUGCGUAGAGAUCAGGAGGAACAUCAAUGGCGAAGGCAGCUCUCUGGACUGUAACUGACGCUGAGGCGCGAAAGCGUGGGUAGCAAACAGG
This 253-nucleotide ribosomal RNA is filed under the name uncultured bacterium. RNAcentral's name for it is "partial 16S ribosomal RNA". It matches the Rfam family "Bacterial small subunit ribosomal RNA", at positions 524 to 776 of the family's 1533-position model. The record is from RNAcentral.